Brienomyrus brachyistius is the source of this 694-nucleotide long non-coding RNA. RefSeq lists it as uncharacterized. The transcript is spliced from 4 exons. NCBI's taxonomy places the organism in Eukaryota, Metazoa, Chordata, Actinopteri, Osteoglossiformes, Mormyridae. The record is from RefSeq and is a predicted model, not a curated record.
CAUGUGGUCUGUGUGAACCAGAAUGCCUCAGUGCAGUGAUGGGGUGACUUGGCCAGCAGGUUAGCCCAUCCUGUGGUCUGUGUGAACCACAAUGCCUCAGUGCAGUGAUGGGGGCACUGGCCAGCAGGUUAGCCCAUCCUGUGGUCUGUGUGAACCACAAUGCCUCAGUGCAGUGAUGGGGGCACUGGCCAGCAGGUUAGCCCAUCCUGUGGUCUGUGUGAACCACAAUGCCUCAGUGCAGUGAUGGGGGCACUGGCCAGCAGGUUAGCCCAUCCUGUGGUCUGUGUGAACCACAAUGCCUCAGUGCAGUGAUGGGGGCACUGGCCAGCAGAUUAGCCCAUCAUGUGGUCUGUGUGAACCACAAUGCCUCAGUGCAGUGAUGGGGGCACUGGCCAGCAGGUUAGCCCAUCCUGUGGUCUGUGUGAACCACAAUGCCUCAGUGCAGUGAUGGGGGCACUGGCCAGCAGGUUAGCCCAUCCUGUGGUCUGUGUGAACCACAAUGCCUCAGUGCAGUGAUGGGGGCACUGGCCAGCAGGUUAGCCCAUCCUGUGGUCUGUGUGAACCACAAUGCCUCAGUGCAGUGAUGGGGGCACUGGCCAGCAGGUUAGCCCAUCCUGUGGUCUGUGUGAACCACAAUGCCUCAGUGCAGUGAUGGGGGCACUGGCCAGCAGGUUAGCCCAUCUUGUGGUCUGUG